Molecule: ribosomal RNA, 119 nt
Filed under: Janthinobacterium psychrotolerans
Lineage: Bacteria; Pseudomonadati; Pseudomonadota; Betaproteobacteria; Burkholderiales; Oxalobacteraceae
Description: Janthinobacterium sp. S3-2 partial 16S ribosomal RNA
Rfam family: Bacterial small subunit ribosomal RNA
Source: RNAcentral
UUAAACUGAAGAGUUUGAUCCUGGCUCAGAUUGAACGCUGGCGGCAUGCCUUACACAUGCAAGUCGAACGGCAGCACGGAGCUUGCUCUGGUGGCGAGUGGCGAACGGGUGAGUAAUAU